RNAcentral lists this long non-coding RNA (395 nucleotides) under Anas platyrhynchos platyrhynchos (common mallard). Its description in RNAcentral is "lncRNA (ENSAPLG00000023438.1)". Lineage: Eukaryota; Metazoa; Chordata; Aves; Anseriformes; Anatidae. The record is from RNAcentral.
GUCUAUUUAGGCUGUCCCACAAUGAAUGCUAUGGGAAAACCAUUUCAUCCACAAGCUGAGGCUUGGUUUUGUGUGCCCUGCAGUUCAAUCCUGACACUGGAGAGAUCGUUGCCUUUGCCAACAAAUAGUUUAAAGGACUCCCUAUUUUUCAAGGCCUUAUUUCAAAGAGGCAGUCCUGUUCAUAACUACUUGUGCAUGCACAUAAAACCCACAAAGCCAGGAAGGCUCCCCAGACUCUACAUGUGAAAUCCUACAGUGUAGUCAACUCAUAAGGCUUCCAGUAUGAUUUCAAAGGUCUUUGAAGAAAACCAGAAGAGCUUCAGAAACACUUCAGUAAUUUGCAGGCUCAUAUGAGCAGACGUGAGCCACUUAGCUUAUAAAAUAGAACUUCUCAG